CAACUUUUCCAACUGCCUGUGCUUUUAUUUAGUUUUUGAGGUGUUUCAGGAAGGUGCUAGGAGGUCACAUGUUAGAGCUAAUGUCUAAGUCACUUCCAUUUAGUGGAAUGGUUGUGGAUGUUACUCAUAGGAUUUGCUGAGGAAGAUUUUGUUGGGUCUUGUGUUCAACACCCUGUUACCAGAGAACUCUGUCCAACUUUAACCUGAGAUCUGCUGUGACCAUUUGAUUCAUUUCCUCUUCUAACUUGAGUCAGUUCUUAUUUCUUAACCAGUGUGUUUGUCUGGUUUCCCUCUCCACACAACCCACAACACACCAGACAUAGACGGGCACACACUCUUCACUACUUGUUAUACUUUUAUUGUAAAUUAUGAGGAAAACAGAAGGCAGGCAUGGGUGAGGACAGAAGUAGAAGAAUAUAUGGUCAUUUAAUCCCAGGUUCGUUCCUGUGAACAUCUUGUUGGCUUUACCGUUAAGGUUACCCUUUGGUUAUUGCUGAAUUUGCUCAGCAGUUGUUUGUAAAGUGAAUUGAACUCUGAAGAGCUGAGAAGGCGGCAGAUGGGUACACGAUGAAAUGCUCAGGUUUGGAAUCAGACUCCUGGUGCAGACCCAGCUCUUAUCGAC
RNAcentral lists this long non-coding RNA (622 nucleotides) under Bos taurus (domestic cattle). RNAcentral describes it as "long non-coding RNA NONBTAT022371". Lineage: Eukaryota; Metazoa; Chordata; Mammalia; Artiodactyla; Bovidae. The record is from RNAcentral.